RNAcentral lists this long non-coding RNA (878 nucleotides) under Callithrix jacchus (white-tufted-ear marmoset). RNAcentral describes it as "lncRNA (ENSCJAG00000083678.1)". Lineage: Eukaryota; Metazoa; Chordata; Mammalia; Primates; Cebidae. The record is from RNAcentral.
GAUGAACAGGCAGAAUCAUGCAGAGUGAAAAGCAGUUUCCCGAAACAGAAAAAGGAUAUUCAAGUGGCAUAUGAAAGCAGAACACCUGCCCUACCUCCAGAUCCGGCAUUACAAGCACCUUGUAAGAUACCACAGCCACCACUUUCAGACUGCUGGGUAAAAGCAAGUGGUUUCCUGAGAGUCUGUCCAUUUACAGCAAGAAGUAAAAAAAGGUUCUGAGAAGAAGUGAGGAGAAGCUAACAGCUGAGCAUGACUUCCAGAAGACAGUGUGGACAGGUUUCAGGUGAGUGGAUGGGAAAAGGGAUACCGUAGAGAUGACUGAGAAUAAGAAUCCAGGAAGAUCAGCACUGAUUGGGAGCUCCAGGCUCCUUGUGAGGUUUGAUGCACAUGAGAGAAUGGCAAAAGCAGAUUUGCCUUGAAGUUCUCAAUGCAAGCAAUGAGGAGAAGGCUGGGAGUGUUGCAGGGCGCUGAGCGUGGAGUCUUGCUGGGAGUGUUCUGAGGCUUCCUCUUUAUUCCUGACAGUGGUGAAGUGGGGCCAUAGAUGGCAUAGUCUUUAUCCUGACUACUUGGAAAUCUGGGAGAGGUGUAGAGACCAGGCGAGGUUCGUCUUUUUCAGCUGAUGUGUGGGUGGCUCUUCAGAGCAGAUUUGAAAGUGUGCAAUGGAAAAUGGUGUUGGAAACGAGUUGAGUAGAUGAGUCAAUGCAACUCUAAUUUUAAUGCCCCAAACCAUGCCCAGCUCAAAAGUCACAGGGUGGUCAUAACAGUUCCACUUUUCUACUCCUGUCAUCAUUAAGCCUCAAAUAAAUAAAAGAAGGGGCCUGUCUCAACAUAUCAAAAGCUGCUGAAUUGUGUCCAUUUAUCCUUUCACUGUUGUGAGA